GGCUAGUUUGCAGUGGCUGCAGCAGGUAUUAUCGAAGAGGAUGUUGUUGCUAAUUUGUUAGCUUCUCCUUUUUCAAGAAUAACUUUCAACAAGAAGUUCAGUUUCAAAUGAUCAUCAUCUGGUGAGUGGAACUGUAUGUUUUUUUGCAGCUCAUAUGCUGUUAUUAGCCAUCUCUUUGAAAAUAACUUAUGUGUGUGAAACAUUGUUGCAUUUAAACUUUAGAUCACCGGUUACUUUUUGUGCUAAAUGUGACUUUUUGUUUUUCAAUGGGAAGUAAAUGUUUCAAUAUUUCGAUCGGGAAAUGCAUAGCCUAAUGAUUGUGUCUUUGUAUUCUUAUGAUUGGAAUCUACUGGCUUUUGUCCGAGUGAAUGGACUGCUGUCUUUCCAUCGGCUCUAUGCAGUGGUGUAGUGGUGCCUGGAGAAGUGGGUCCUGUGUGAAGGAAAGUGUCUGCUGGUCUCCGGAAGAAAUUAGGAGUCCUCACUGUCGGAGACCUAGUCAGGACUGAGUAAAAAUGUAUCUGACGCCAAGACACUCAAUAUGUGAUCUCGAGACCGGACUCGAGACUGAGAACUGUCUUGAGUACUUCAACACUGCAAUUGAGAUCAACUGUGCGGACGAUUUUA
Molecule: long non-coding RNA, 624 nt
Filed under: Salmo salar (Atlantic salmon)
Lineage: Eukaryota; Metazoa; Chordata; Actinopteri; Salmoniformes; Salmonidae
Description: lncRNA (ENSSSAG00000094251.1)
Source: RNAcentral